UGAGGUUACGGAUUGUUUCAUUUAAAAGUUCUGAUCUUAUCUCCGGGAUUUCUGCAGAAGAUAUUUAGUUAUCGAUGAUUUUCUAUCGCCGAGGCUACAAAAAUCGGCAAUCUGAACAAUAUAUAUACUUUGUGACGUCAGUCACUCAUUUCGGAGAGAAAAUAAUGGCGGACAGUGUUCGCUUCGAAUGAAAUUAUCUGUAUUUCUUUGGUUUUGUGGAGCAUUUAGGAUUAUUUAAACACAACAAUAUAAUGGAUGUACAGGCCAUCGUUGCAGUUCCCUUCCUUGAAGACUCUGUGGUGAUUGAUUGAAGUAUAUGAUCAGUCUUGACAAUCAAAACCAUGCUGAUCUUGUACUACUUUCUGUUGCUACUUUUAAUCAUCAUCUUAUCCACAAGAACGUUUUUUGUUAAACUGUUAUUUUAAAAAAAAAAAAAAAAAAUCUGAUGAUCAAUUUUAA
This is a long non-coding RNA of Ostrea edulis (European flat oyster), 459 nucleotides long. RefSeq lists it as uncharacterized. Lineage: Eukaryota; Metazoa; Mollusca; Bivalvia; Ostreida; Ostreidae. The transcript is spliced from 2 exons. The record is from RefSeq and is a predicted model, not a curated record.